GGGGGGAGGCUAGCAGGAUGUGAGGAAUUUACAUAGUAAACAGCAGCUGACCACAUUGUAGGGGGGAAGGGAAUAUUUACUCUAGAAGCCAGUUUUAACAUAGUGAACAGAGAAUAAAUAGACAUUAGUAAAUAGCCAUUUUAUUUUAAUUCAUCUGUCCAUAACAGUCCCCCCUUAAAAUGGCAAUUUUUACUAAAACUACUAUCUCUCAUUCUAAUACUGUCCCUAUAGAAAAAUAACAAAAGGCUAUCUUGCACAUCUGUCUGAACAGGCCUCGAACACUUCACUGCGCG
Pelobates cultripes (western spadefoot toad) is the source of this 293-nucleotide non-coding RNA. Lineage: Eukaryota; Metazoa; Chordata; Amphibia; Anura; Pelobatidae. The record is from the annotation of a GenBank genome assembly.